GUGGGGAAUCUUGCGCAAUGCGCGAAAGCGUGACGCAGCAACGCCGCGUGCGGGAAGACGGCCUUCGGGUUGUAAACCGCUUUCAGUUGGGACGAAGCUUCGUCGGUUAAUAGCCGGCCGGAGUGACGGUACCUUCACAAGAAGCCCCGGCUAACUACGUGCCAGCAGCCGCGGUAAUACGUAGGGGGCAAGCGUUGUCCGGAAUCAUUGGGCGUAAAGAGCGUGUAGGCGGCCCGAUAAGUCCGCUGUGAAAGUCCAGGGCUCAACCCUGGGAUGCCGGUGGAUACUGUCGGGCUCGAGUCCGGAAGAGGAGUGUGGAAUUCCUGGUGUAGCGGUGAAAUGCGCAGAUAUCAGGAGGAACACCAAUGGCGAAGGCAGCACUCUGGGACGUGACUGACGCUGAGACGCGAAAGCGUGGGGAGCAAACAGGAUUAGAAACCCCAGUAGUCC
This 450-nucleotide ribosomal RNA is filed under the name uncultured bacterium. Its description in RNAcentral is "bacterial SSU rRNA". It matches the Rfam family "Bacterial small subunit ribosomal RNA", at positions 354 to 796 of the family's 1533-position model. The record is from RNAcentral.